AGAUGGAGCCCAUCCAGAACCCAGCUGUGCUGCUGCAAGCCAGGAGAAAGGACUUUGUGCUCCUUCACCUCAGAAACCUGAACUCAGAAUUUCCUUGUAGACACUUUUCAGGCCUUUGUUUGCUGGAGACUGGAGUUCCCUGAGAGGAUUAAGGGUGUGGUGGGGAGUGUCUAAAGGAGCCCAGUGCCUUGAGGGCAGCCAAGAAGACAGAGGCCCUGGACUGGAUACCGGCUGAG
Molecule: long non-coding RNA, 236 nt
Filed under: Homo sapiens (human)
Lineage: Eukaryota; Metazoa; Chordata; Mammalia; Primates; Hominidae
Description: HSALNT0333671
Source: RNAcentral